RNAcentral lists this transfer RNA (87 nucleotides) under Candidatus Peregrinibacteria bacterium. RNAcentral describes it as "tRNA-Leu". It matches the Rfam family "tRNA". From Rfam's summary of the family: Transfer RNA (tRNA) molecules are approximately 80 nucleotides in length. Lineage: Bacteria; Candidatus Peregrinibacteriota. The record is from RNAcentral.
GCCAUGGUGGCGGAAUUGGUAGACGCGCACGACUCAAAAUCGUGUUCCUGAAAGGGAUUGUGGGUUCGAUUCCCACCCAUGGCACCA